This 73-nucleotide transfer RNA is filed under the name Ovis aries (sheep). It matches the Rfam family "tRNA". From Rfam's summary of the family: Transfer RNA (tRNA) molecules are approximately 80 nucleotides in length. The record is from Rfam by way of RNAcentral. Lineage: Eukaryota; Metazoa; Chordata; Mammalia; Artiodactyla; Bovidae.
UCCCUGGAGGUCCAGUGGUUAAGACUCUGUGCUUCCACUGCCGGGGGCCUGGGUUUGAUCCCUGGCCAGGGAA